GGGCUUGACUGGAUUUGACAGCAAGAGAUGUGGUAUGUAAGCAUGCAGUGCGUCAGUGAUUUGCACUAUAAUCUCAGUUACUGAACAAUUAUCUGGCAACGAAAACUAUGCUCUCGCUGCUUAAUCGAAGUACAGUAGAUUAGCUUUAUUUCCGCCACAGUGGUGGAAACGAGACAUCGCUCAAAAGCUCUUGUUCCGAAGCGUUUGGUCAAGCGGUGCAGUAAAAUCGGGAAUAGUUUUGGUCUUGCUUCGCGGCUGAAAUGAAAUUUUAGAAGCUAAGGCGCAAGUGGGUGGCUCUGGUCUUGCUUACGCACGAAAACCGAAGGCAGAGAUAAGCAUGUAGAAAGCGUAUGGCUUCCUUGUUUGGACGAGGGUUCGAUUCCCUCCAGGUCCAC
Molecule: transfer-messenger RNA, 395 nt
Filed under: uncultured Phocaeicola sp.
Lineage: Bacteria; Pseudomonadati; Bacteroidota; Bacteroidia; Bacteroidales; Bacteroidaceae
Rfam family: transfer-messenger RNA
About the family: Bacterial tmRNA, also known as 10Sa RNA or SsrA, is named for its dual tRNA and mRNA-like properties. Its role is to liberate the mRNA from a stalled ribosome.
Source: RNAcentral